CCGCGGCGCCUGGGCCGCGUGUGUCGGGCGGCGCGUCCCUCCCGCCGAGGGGGCGGCAAUGCCCCGGGCCGAGGGGGCGGCAAUGCCCCGGGCCGCGGGAGCGGCCGGGGGGAGCGGCAGCGGCCGGACCCCGGCUCUGAAGUUCCUCCGAAAAGGGCUGCUUCAUUUCUGCCCUCUCUCUCUCACAUUCCUGCAAGAUUACCGGCCAGAAAUAGCCUACGGCCACCCCCUCCCUCCGAGGAGAGAAAAAGACAAAAGGAAAAAAAAAAAAAGAGUUGUUCGAGAUUGUAAUUACCGGUUAGGUUAUGUUUUAAGACAGUAAUGAAAAACUGUUAAAAGAGCGAAGUGUGGCAGAAAGCGCGGCCGGGGGCGGUGGGAACGGAGGCUCCGCGGAGCCCGGAGGGGCGCAGCAGCGUUACGUGCCAGCGUGGGGCCGGGAAGGGCAUUUCUGUAAAGCUUCUGUUCCUGUCCCACCUGCGGUCUCAGCUACGGCUUCACCUGGGGAAGGCGCACUUCGAAGCAUGCCUAGCCCUUUCUUAGUGUAACUAUGUUGUUUGUAGUUUCAGGCUUUCCCCCACUGAUGUCUAGAGUUGUUAGCUUAUCUGGUUUUGCAGAGCUACAAACUGGUGGAAAAAAAAAAAGAGAGAAGAGAAUAAUAAUAUAAAAUGAUAAUAAAAAGACUCGACCAGGAGCAAUAAUUUAAAAUGCACAUUUUGCUUUGGAUGCACUGUUGUUCAUAUAAAAGUUGUAAAUAUUUGUUUAUUUAAACAGACUGAAAAGUGCAAAAUGGAGAUGAACAACAUGCAUUUCUUUUUUUAAUGUACAAAACAUUAUAUGCACUCAAAAUGUUAUAAUUUCUAAUAUUUUUAAAAGUUUAUAUUUGAGUUGUACAGAAUUAAGCAUUAAUCAAAUAUUUCAUUCUUACUUAACAUUAUCAUUUCCUUAAGAUAUUAUUGCAAGAUUUAAAUUCUGUGCUAAUAAUGGAGAAAAAAGAAGUUUUUUUACUGUCUACCUCACUAUAAUGCAAGUAUUUACAACUCUAAAGUUAUCUGAGGUAAAUUAAUAUUCAGAACAUUUUUACAAUACACCUUUACUGGACGAUACUACAACUAUUACUGUAUUAUUAAACUUUUUUUUUUCAAAAAGUCAACUUGCUUUUAUACGUUCUAUUAUUUGAUUAAGUAAUUAUGAGUUCUCAAGUAAACAUUGCCUCCAGUUGUCAAAUGCUGUCGAGUUAAGUUGGAGUAAGUGCCACUUUAAGACUUACCUAAAGCCAUUCUUCCUUUCUGAAGACUUUUUGUACGCUCAUAACAUCUUUAGUUUCCUCUUUAGUAUAUGCUGGUGGCAUAAAUAUGCAAGACAUUGCAUUAUGAUUUUAUGCAUUUUAUGUGGUGAUUUUUGUUAAUGUAAUUGGGGGAAUGCAUUACGUGGAAAAAUUUCAGGCAAACAUUUGUAAAUAUCAUCUGUACCGGGCACAUUUAUAUACACUGUAUUAUGAUGACAAGCGAAAGAUAAUGAAUGUUUUAUAAAUGAUAUUUAUUUUUGAUGCAAUGGGUAAUAUAUUUAUUAAAUAUUUCCUGGUUAUCUCUUAGCUAAUGAAGAACUAUUCAAUGAGUGGCUGUUUCACUAAGAGAAGAAUUGCAGUCCUCUCUCGUAGCAGUGUGUGCAGAGGCCCCGGUGCUCUGCGAGCGCAGGCGGUGAGGGGGCUCGUAGCUGGAGUCUCUUAGGAGAAAGGUUCAUCUCAAAUGCACGAGGGCUGAAAGAACCGCUCACCUGGUAGGAGCUGUGGAAUGUGUUUGAAAACAAGGUUCUUUUCAUGGCAAGUGGAAUUUUUACCAGAUCACAAGAUCUGAUCUCACACGUUUUUCUCUGGCAAACGCUCCCUCCCUCGGACUCGGACUUGAACAAAGGAUUCCGGAAUCGCACCCGGGAUUUUGAAUACCGGCAGCUGAGGGACCACUGCGAGGGUCCAGCCUUAGUCUGCGUGCAACUUCCAGAGGAAUACUUCUGCCCAGUAUUUAAUACCGUUUCAAGUUUGUGACUAAAAGGUUGUACUGUGGAGCGAGCGUCCGCUCUCAUUGUAACCGAAGGCAAUGGAAAAAUGGCACAAAGAAAAUCUGCGUCCCAGCAAGCUGGAAUACACUCUAGAAAGAAAGGCAAUCAAGACAGGUAAGACGCCAUAAACUGGAAAUGACCAUGAUGUAAAAAUCUGAAAUUUUACAAAAUUCACAGAUAGCAAAGCAUUUAAAGGCUGAAUGAAGUGUUGCUUGAUUUCACUGUCCAGUGAGCAAGUGAAGCAUCAGAUGUAUAGACAUUGCUUCAGCUAAAAUAAUACACUGUGUUUUUCAAUGCAAGUCCCUUUUAGUAUAAAAACACUAUUGUUUCUAUUACUAGCUCUUCCAUCACAGGCUUACUAGCAAGCUGUGUUAUCACUGAGCUGUCUUUCCUGAUACACCUCAGAAGUUGUACUGGGGAGCUUCGUCAGACAAAAUACACCUCUGAGAGGCCUGAGAAAUCUCUCCUUAGAGGAGCUCUUCAAAGCAGCAGCAUGGAAGAUUUUGCUGUCUUGGAUGUACAUUGCAGAGCUAUUUGUACCAUCUCCUACGUUAGCUGAUUUUUGGGGAACAUCUUUGAUGGCCAGAAAAGGUUUGAAAGCCCACGUGUGUCCCACUUCUUCCCAAGUGGCUGUGCUUGUUGACCUCCAGGCAAGUAAGAGGACCUGAAAAGGCACAAAUAUGGUCAGAAUCUGGAGCAUCUAUUUUGGAGACAAACCUUUUGGAUUUUACUAUUAGAAGAGAGGAAACGCUGGCCUUUUUGAGCAUGUCUUUUGGAUGCUAUAGUUAAUAUAACGUUAGCUAAGCCUAUUUUGGCAAGUCUGCUGUUCCUAAAGAUGGGAUCUCUGUUCAUUUCCUUUUUUAGUUCUGCAAUAUUCUUUUGUACAAAACUGAGAAGGAGCAGUAUGAUUUUGAAAAGGAGAUAUGUAAAGAUAUAGCAAAGCUGAUUGAUUGUCUUUCCUUCCUUGCACCUCCCUUUCUCUCUCCCUCUCUCCUGCCCACCCCCCAAGUGCUCAUCAGUGAACUGAACAAAAAAUACCGGUGAUUAUUUUUUCAGCUUUUACCACAAAUACUGAAAGCUUUUGUUACAGAGCAAUCCAAAUACGUUAAUUUGGCGGAAGUGUAGCUCAGAUCUCUCUGUCCUGCCAAAGUAAUACGAAUUUUCUUUUCCAUUUCUCAACUCCCCAUGCUCAAAAUCAUAUUCAAAAAGGGGAAAUAAUUUCUUUUAUUAUGUUGCCGGCCAGAAGAGGGAGCAGAAUCUAUUAUGUAAUGGGAAUAGAUAGCAGCAAAUAAAAGACAGCUGAAGUGAGUCCGUUUGAUUGUGUGAUGUGUAUCAGCAGACGUUUUGCAAUUCAUUGAUCUCAUUGACUGUGUUGCUCAAACACAAGAAAACCACUGACACUUCCUUGAAAUAUAGGUAUGGAACAGAACAACUAAAUAGAGAGUAUUUGCAUGAAAAAAAUAGAAUAGGGCUUAAGCCCUUCCUUUGUAAGUGCUGCUCCUCCUUUUUAGACCCCAAACUCCCUCUUACAUUGACUUAUGGGGGCUCUCAUAAUUUUGCAAAUGAUAUGUGUGGGAAAAUAGUGGAAUGCCCUCCUUGACCAAUCUUCUUCCUCACUAGCUCCAUGUUGGUGAGAGGUCAGUUUACUGAAAUGUGUAAAAUAAGCAUGCUUGUUUUUACACAGAUGUGAGACCAGAAGUACCUCAAAUGUUAGUUGGGGGACAGAGUUGAUCAUAUUGUGUAGAACAUGUUUCUUUAUAAUCUCUUAAUCUUUGCUUCAAAAGCCCAUCUGAAGCCUUGAGGAAGUCAAAUGACUGAAAUUUAUACUUGUCAAUCAUCCAGAGUCUAGGCAGCAAAACAGUGGGUUUCAAUAGCAUAUAGUUUGUUCAGCUAUACAGAGGCCCAUGUACUGUAAAGGAGUACACUACUUUAGAAUGGGGUUCUCUUGUCAGCAUUCAGCUCUAUUAUACGAUUAGAUUUCCAAAUAUUUGCUCUUGUUUCUUUACAAUGUCAGACUGGUUGUAAACUGUGGAUGUUCCAGCUGUUCAUUAUUGUGAGAGAGGAGAGUCAACAUAGUACCACUACUGUGCUCAUCGUCUGCCUAUUUCUUCACGACUACAGCCCUGAAAAGUAACACUUGUCCAAGCAAUAUUAGUUAACAUGCAUUAUUAUUUAGCACAUUAUAUUGCUGAGAAUUAAAACGGGUUCUCCCAGUGAUUUAACCUGAGCUAAUUUUGCACUGCAUCAGCCUGGAGCAGUGUAUGGGAUGCUAUAUUCAACCAUGUGUUGUCAUUUUGGCCACCUCAGUCUGUCACAGAACUAGAAUUGGUUUUAACUAGGUGAGCAGACAACCCUUUUCCUGGAACUGAGAAGUCUAAAAUCAGGGUGGGGACUUUUAUCCCAUAAGGCCACUUUUCCUGCUAAUAGCUUUCUGCCCCAUUUUUUUUUUCAAAGACUUUUUGGAGAAGUUUCAUCCUGCAGACCAUUGUUUAAUCUGUGGAAGAUGGUUAUUUUUCUGAAUGUAAGGAUUUUAGUACACUUAAUACUUAGGAGAGUACUAGGGUAGAAUAAGUGAGAAGAAUCCCAGGGUACCAACAUGCCAAUCUAACAACGAGAGCUUUGAACUGGGUGGCUGAGAAGGAGCUCAGGUGAAGAAGAAAAUUGGUGGUUUAGCUGACAAUUCAUUUCUAGGGUGGAAGUGGGAAAUUGCAGGAGGGCCGUAGAAGAACAAAAGGGAUAACAUAAGGGCAAACUGCCAAACAUCUGAGAUGUCUUUACACUAAUGCUAAGAGUAUGGAGAAUAAACAGGAAGAACUAGAAGUCUUGGGACACAACAAAGGCUACAGUUUAAUCAGCAUCACACAGACUCAGCGGAAUAAAUUGCUGCACUUGAAUAUUAGCAGAGAGUAUAAUUUGUGUAGGAAGGACAGGCAGAAAAAAAGGGAAGCAUAUUAUCUGGUAUAUUAGGAAUGUGUGUAAGGCCAGAAAGAGGGGAGGGACAGACUUGUUGAAGAUAAAAUGGAGAGGAACUGUAAAGCUCUCCUAACGAUUACUUAAUGAGGAGGAGGAGGAGGUCAAUGUAACAUUUUUCGAGCAACUACUGGGAGUGUCCAGAGGAUACGAGGUAGUGGUAAUCAAGGACUUUAUCUAGCCAGAUAUUUUCUGGAAGAAAAAAACCCAGCAGAACACAGACAGUUUCUCAAGUUUUUGGAAUGUGUUGGGACAACUUUUUGUUUCAAACAGCGGAGGCAGUUACAGGAGACAUGGCCAGAUAAGGCUAUGAUAGAUAUGACUAAUAAAGAGCAACUUGCUAGAAGGUGAUUGGAGCUCAUGUGUCUGUGGAAAAGGAUUGAGAGGAGGAGAGCAACACUAAGUGAUUCCUAUAAAGCAGAUUUCCAUAAUUUCAGGGAACUGAUAGAGAAGGUUCUGCAGGGAGGAACUGGAAGGAGAAAGGAGUUGAAAGGCAAGCUGGAAAAAGGCCCUGUAUUAAAGGCUCCAUAAGAAGCCGUCCUUCUGGGGCAGCAUAGUAAGACGUCAGGGAGACUGAGUCAAGAGCUGCCUGGUCAUCUGAAAACAAGGAGGCAACUCACAAAAAGUGAAAGAAGAUGCUGCACUAGGAUAAGAGGAAGGCUAAAAUCUAAAGAAUGUUAAAGGCACUAGAAAUAGGAAUAAGAAGAAAAGAAAGAAAAGGAUUAUCACUUCACUGGAAUGGUGAACAAAGGACAAAUGACAGACAGCAAAGUGUGGAGCACCUUAUUCUUUGGACAUAAGGCAUACCUGGUACCAGAGGUCUAACACAAUUAGGGCUAGCAAGAGAAUUGAAAGCCAGGCCAGAUCAGGGAAAGAAAGGUGAAAGAAUAUCUGAAUAAAACAUUCAAAGCAGGAUGCCCCAAUGACAUUUACUCUGGCAUAAGCAAAGAAAUAAGCACAGCCACUUCUGAAAUACUAAGAAUUAUCUUUAAGAACACACAGAAGAAUGAUGAAGUACCCAGAAGUUACACAUUAGCCAACUUGCCUCAAAUACUUUGAAAAAUACUGAAAAAAAUUAAAUGCUCGAUAAAAUAGCAAUCGCAGAAUAAUAACAUGAUAAAGACAUCCAACAUGAAUUUGUACAGAACAAAUCAUAUCCAGCUAGUCUCAUUUUCUUCUUUGAUAAAGGUGAAGUGAAACUCAAGCACUUAAGAAGAGGGAGUUCCAAAUUAGCUUGCUACAUUAAAGAAGUGGUUUGGGAUAUGUACAAUGAAAUGUAAUAGUAACAAGUGCAAAAUGUUACACUUAAGGAGGGAUAAUCUUAUGCAUGAGAUGCACAAUGGAGAAUUUGGCUAAAUAAUGCUUCUGCAGGAAAGAAUCUGGUCUUUAUAGUGGAAUAAAAAUCUGCAUAUGAGUUAACAAAACAAUGCUGUUGCCCUGUUCCAGGACGUAUGAAGAUCAUUUUCUGAUGUCUUCUGGACCAUUGGUGGUCUGCCGAUCACAGACUGAGUAACACUGCCUGGUGAUUAAGUGUAUCAGGCAUGACAGGUACAUAUGUAAGACUGGGCAGUUCAUGCCUGGGUUGUGCUAGAGUCCACAAACCGGGCGUGCUUUGGCUUCUCUCUUUCUGUGCUCUGAGAGGUAUUUUGAGAAAUGACUGCCAGGAUGGGCCUUGCUCGGUUCAUCGGAAGAGGGAGCAGUGUGGCUCCCAGGCCCUCCGUGCACAGAGCACUCUCCACAGCAUUGCAGCUCAUAAGGUCUUUUCGUCGUUAACUGCCUGAGAACAAGGAGAUUUGGAUACCAUGGCACUCCUAAAAAUUCCCUUAUGUACUCUUCUUCAAUUAACUCCCUUGAGAAAUACAGGCCUAAAUUUUCCUCUUAAAGUGGGAAUAAGGGGAUUUAUUGCAAUGCCUAUUGUGGCACCUAAACUGGACAGUACUCCUGCGGAGAUGUCAUUAGUACUGAGCAGAGUGGAAUAAAGGUCUCCCAUAGCUUUAUAUAAGGCUUUCUUUUUAAUACAGCCAGCUGAAUGCUUGAGAAUAAGACCUUUUGUUCAGUCCUACUCCAGCAGAGUCCUGUACUUGGUUAGAGCCUCUUGUUGCUAUCAUAAAACAAACAAUGGUUUAUGGCAUGACAGCAAUGUGCUAUUUUGAUGGGCUUCUGUGAAUUUACCAGACUCAAGCUGUUUUUGAUGCUUGAUGUGUUCCAAUGAGACCAAAAAAACCCCAAACCCCAACUUCCUCACCCCCCCCCCCCCCGUUGUCUCAACUUUCCAGUGCAUAUUGUGCACCCGACCCUGCUCGUGUACUACAGUGGACUUGCAAAUACUUUUCAGAGACUGUUCUCUGUCCUCAAACAUGUCAGUCUGGAAUUUCUGUUGUUCUGUUUGUCAUUUACUAUUCAUAUUGGUUCGUGUGAUGAACUCUGCAGAGGAGAUUUGGAUCUUAUUGUGACCAGGUAAAAGCCACAGAUCUGGAUCAUAUUACUGGCCAGGUAAAAGCACACAGAAAGCUCUGGUCCAUCAUGUGCCAGAAGUCCUGCAAACUUGAGAGAAAUCAGGUCUUGAAUGUGUUUGUGUCAGGACCUCUGAACAGCAGUGAACUGAAUCUUCCUAGUCAGCCUAUUCAUAUAUCUGUUUCACUACUGAGUAAGAUCAGCAUUGAGUAUGUCACAGGCUCCCAAAUGUUCGUUGCUUUGUUCUGUUAUUUUGGAGUGAAAUAAAUUACUGCUGUCACCCGGAACUGGAACUCUAUAAAACAUCCUCCUGUUCCUCUUUGCCAAUAUCUAACACCAAGCCCUGUAAGCAGACUAUUUUCAUUCACAGUGCUGAUGUUAUACUGCUCCUACUAUCUAUCAUUCAACUGAUCUUUCUUUUUGUUCUUGUAGACCAGAGUUCCACAAACCUAUUUAACCUGGGAUGUACCUCUGCCAAAGACGGCUCUGCUGGGAGACAGUGCAAACAAAUUCAUCACUGACAAACCAGGCAGCAGAGCCGUCAAACAUAAAACAGCUACAGCAAGUCUGGCUGAAAGGUUUGGGGAGAGAUAGAGGAAAUAAAGAAGAAUUGUUCAUCAUUUAAGGA
Long non-coding RNA from Dromaius novaehollandiae (emu), 8107 nucleotides. RefSeq lists it as uncharacterized. The transcript is spliced from 2 exons. The record is from RefSeq and is a predicted model, not a curated record. Lineage: Eukaryota; Metazoa; Chordata; Aves; Casuariiformes; Dromaiidae.